GCAAGCUUGAGUCUCGUAGAGGGGGGUAGAAUUCCAGGUGUAGCGGUGAAAUGCGUAGAGAUCUGGAGGAAUACCGGUGGCGAAGGCGGCCCCCUGGACGAAGACUGACGCUCAGGUGCGAAAGCGUGGGGAGCAAACAGGAUUAGAUACCCUGGUAGUCCACGCCGUAAACGAUGUCGACUUGGAGGUUGUGCCCUUGAGGCGUGGCUUCCGGAGCUAACGCGUUAAGUCGACCGCCUGGGGAGUACGGCCGCAAGGUUAAAACUCAAAUGAAUUGACGGGGGCCCGCACAAGCGGUGGAGCAUGUGGUUUAAUUCGAUGCAACGCGAAGAACCUUACCUGGUCUUGACAUCCACAGAACUUUCCAGAGAUGGAUUGGUGCCUUCGGGAAC
RNAcentral lists this ribosomal RNA (392 nucleotides) under Escherichia coli. Its description in RNAcentral is "bacterial SSU rRNA". It matches the Rfam family "Bacterial small subunit ribosomal RNA", at positions 636 to 1027 of the family's 1533-position model. The record is from RNAcentral. RNAcentral also lists the same sequence under 1 other name. Lineage: Bacteria; Pseudomonadati; Pseudomonadota; Gammaproteobacteria; Enterobacterales; Enterobacteriaceae.